UGCCCCCACGGCGCCAGCCAGCCUCGUGGCAUCCCAGGCCUGGUCGCCAUACGCCGCCUACCAACCGCUUUCAACCACCCCAGCAGCACAGCCUCUUAGGGCGUUCCAACGCGGCGCCCCCUA
Long non-coding RNA from Camelus ferus (Wild Bactrian camel), 123 nucleotides. It matches the Rfam family "GNAS antisense RNA 1 conserved region 5". The record is from Rfam. NCBI's taxonomy places the organism in Eukaryota, Metazoa, Chordata, Mammalia, Artiodactyla, Camelidae.